GACGAACGCUGGCGGCGUGCCUAAUACAUGCAAGUCGAACGCAGUGGGGACGGGUGAGUAACACGUGGGUAACCUCCCAUCAGAGGGGAUAACACUUGGAAACAGGUGCUAAACCGCUACUGAUGGAUCAACCCGCGGUGCAUUAGCUGGUUGGGGGGGUAACGGCUCACCAAGGCCACGAUGCAUAGCCGGCCUGAGAGGGUGAUCGGCCACACUGGGACUGGGACACGGUCCAGAUUCCUACGGGAGGCAGCAGUAGGGAAUCUUCUGCAAUGGGCGAAAGUAUGACGGAGCAAUGCCGCGUGAGUGAAGAAGGUGUUCGGAUCGUAAAACUCUGUUGUUAGAGAAGCGGUAUCUAACCAGGAAGCCACGGCUAACUACGUGCCAGCAGCCGCGGUAAUUC
Molecule: ribosomal RNA, 403 nt
Filed under: uncultured bacterium
Lineage: Bacteria
Description: partial 16S ribosomal RNA
Rfam family: Bacterial small subunit ribosomal RNA
Source: RNAcentral